Sinocyclocheilus grahami is the source of this 1671-nucleotide long non-coding RNA. NCBI's taxonomy places the organism in Eukaryota, Metazoa, Chordata, Actinopteri, Cypriniformes, Cyprinidae. The record is from Ensembl.
CUAAUGCUGUCCUGCUCCUGGGAAGGUGGGUUUCCUCGAGCACUGGUGUGGUGGGCCUCUAGCUCAGGGGACAUGCAAGGCACAUCUGAGGAGAACGCAAACAUCCUGGUUUUGCGGUCAAGUGCUACAUACAGUGGCAAGGCUUUUGUAUGCCAUGCAAAACAUCCAUUGGCUAAGGAGACCAAACAGUGUGUUUUAAAACUAGGUAAGAAAGGGUCAAUCAUUAUUCUUGCAUCUGUAAAACAAUCCUUUAAAAACUGUCCUUUCUUACUGUCUUUAGAGGCACCAGUCCUAGUGACCCAGCGCAGUAUGAUGACCGUCUAUGAGGGCAGCGAUGCCCAACUCACCUGUAUCUUGAGUAGAAACUACCCUGUCACAGAGAUCACCUGGUUCAACAACCUGAAGCAGCAUGUGAACGAGAUUCCUAAGAAGUACGUCCUGGAGCGAGCUGCUGCCUGGACAAACUUGACAGUGCGGGAAACAGACAGCAACACAGACAGUGGCCAUUACUGGUGUUCAGCUACCAAUGCUGUCGGUGGGGCAGAGAUCCCCAUUAUGCUGAUGGUGAAGAGGUACCCAAUGCCCCCAAAUAUAAGCAUCAGUAAGAUCAUUUACAACAGUCGUCAAAGGACUGAUGUUGACCUAGAGUGGAAGCUCCAGACUGAGGGUAACCUUACCGGGUUUUUCAUCGAGCGCCAGAGGAUCCCUGAACCUGUGAAGAAAAGAAACAGUGGCCUUCCCUGGCAGAAACUGGCAGAUCUAGACCAUGAUUCCCGACACUACCAAAUCAACAAUCUGGAUCCCAUUGGAGCUUAUGCAUUUCGUGUUACUGCCAUCAACCACCGCACCAUUGGAAACCCUUCCGAGAUAAAGAGCGCAGGUGAGAACACUUACAAAGGCAUUGAAUAUCAGUGCAUAUCUAAACAUGGACAACAUAAUCAUUUACAUUGAAAUACCCAAAGAAGGCAGGAUAUAAUUUGAAGCUGUUAGAAAAUGUUUUAAGAUUGGAGUAUUUUUUUAUUGUUAUUGCAAAACAACAACCACUCACUGUAAAUCUAAUGCUGUUGUUUUUUGUUUUGUUGUCCAUUCAGGUGAAGUGCACAAUCACUUGACCACUUCCAUACCCACACAUCUCCCUUCUUCUGUUCCUUUCCUCUUACAUGAUCUGCCUGUUAACUUGCCCUUUGAUCUUUCCUGAGGUUAUUUUUCUACUCAUCUCAUUCUGUCCGAUAACUAAAGAAAGUGCGUAUAAUCGUAUAUGCUAAUGACGCUAAAACAACUAAUUAACCCAAGUGUUUAAUCUUUUUUCCACAAAAAACAGUAAUAUACAUUACAAUUGUACAAUAUUAUGUAGUAAGCUCUUAUGAUGUCCAAUUGCUAUGGUAAACUAUGCAAUUGUGACACUGAUUUUGUGAAGCUGAAAUAGGUAUACUGUCUUCCAGCCGACCCUCCCUUCAAUGCCUACCCAGCUGUGAUCGGGGCAGCCAUCGGGGGCAUGAUCAUAGCUACAAUAAUCACUGUACUGCUCUUCAUGUAUGUGGUACGGAACCGCAACAAUAACCCACGUGAGUUACGUAUCUUUAAUGUUUCAAGAAAUCAAAUAUUGGUUGGUUAACCCUGUAGCAUGGUUCCAUGUUAAUACCACUGUCACACUUUACAGGACUUCACGAC